This 375-nucleotide unclassified non-coding RNA is filed under the name uncultured Caryophanales bacterium. Its description in RNAcentral is "uncultured Bacillales bacterium contains 16S-23S intergenic spacer region". Lineage: Bacteria; Bacillati; Bacillota; Bacilli; Caryophanales. The record is from RNAcentral.
CCCGGUUUGUCACCGGCAGUCUCGCAUGAGUCCCCAACUUAAUGCUGGCAACAUGCGACGGGGGUUGCGCUCGUUGCGGGACUUAACCCAACAUCUCACGACACGAGCUGACGACAACCAUGCACCACCUGUCACCGCUGUCCCGAAGGGAAGCUCCAUCUCUGGAGCGGUCAGCGGGAUGUCAAGCCCUGGUAAGGUUCUUCGCGUUGCUUCGAAUUAAACCACAUGCUCCACCGCUUGUGCGGGCCCCCGUCAAUUCCUUUGAGUUUCAGCCUUGCGGCCGUACUCCCCAGGCGGAGUGCUUAAUGGGUUACCUUCGGCACUGAGGGGGGAACCCCCCAACACCUAGCACUCAUCGUUUACGGCGUGGACUAC